This 776-nucleotide long non-coding RNA is filed under the name Mus musculus (house mouse). Its description in RNAcentral is "long non-coding RNA chr2:105161823-105162599". The record is from RNAcentral. Lineage: Eukaryota; Metazoa; Chordata; Mammalia; Rodentia; Muridae.
AUCAAUUGGUGAGUUGAUUCUCAUUUCUGGCUUGUGAGAAUAAAGAAUGCCAGCGAAUGACAUAUACAAGUGUUUUUCCUUGGAUAUCUGCUUUUAUUUCUCUUAGGAAUACACCUAGGAUUUCUGGAUAAUAUGGCCACUUUUUAGUUAUAUUUUGGUGGGAUUUAUGGGUAUUUUUUGAAGUAGCUGCUUCCUUUCACAGAAAUGUGCAUGCUCAUUCACCAUCCCCAGAGAGACUCUUGAUAUAAUUCUCAUAUAUUGCAAAUGUGGGCCAGAAUUUUUGUGCUGGCUGGAUUGGAAAUAAAAUCACUACAGUAAGGAUUCCAGAACUGUACCUAGAGGAGAGAGUCUUUUCAGGGCAGAAUGCCCACAAAGAGUUAAGUAGCCAUCAAUGAGCACUGGACAAUUGUCCUUCAUGCCCGACUGACUCAACUUCUAGGAAAUGCAUUGCUUGGGGGUAUCCUGGAACUACAAGUAAGGCUGGAGGGAUGUGAGACUUCAAAAAGAUCAACCUGAGAGCUCCCAGGCUAUUUGGGGGCAGGGGGAUGGCUCAGUCAGUAAAGUACUUACCAUGCCAACCUGAGGACCUCAGCACAACCUCCCAGAACCUAUCCACAAAAAAAAAAAAAAAAAAAAAAAAAAAAAAAAAAUCCAGGUGUGUUUGUAAUCCCAGCACUGAAGAAAUGGAGACAAUGGAGACAGGGGGAAUCUCUAGAAUUGCUGGGCAGCCAGCCUAGCUGAAUUGGUGAGAUCUAGGCUCAGGGAGAGACUCAGUU